AAUCCAUAGGUUAAUGAGGCGAACCGGGGGAACUGAAACAUCUAAGUACCCCGAGGAAAAGAAAUCAACCGAGAUUCCCCCAGUAGCGGCGAGCGAACGGGGAGGAGCCCAGAGCCUGAAUCAGCAUGUGUGUUAGUGGAAGCGUCUGGAAAGGCGCGCGAUACAGGGUGACAGCCCCGUACACAAAAGCGCAUGUGCUGUGAGCUCGAUGAGUAGGGCGGGACACGUGGUAUCCUGUCUGAAUAUGGGGGGACCAUCCUCCAAGGCUAAAUACUCCUGACUGACCGAUAGUGAACCAGUACCGUGAGGGAAAGGCGAAAAGAACCCCGGCGAGGGGAGUGAAAAAGAACCUGAAACCGUGUACGUACAAGCAGUGGGAGCACAGGUUUACCUGUGUGACUGCGUACCUUUUGUAUAAUGGGUCAGCGACUUAUAUUCUGUAGCAAGGUUAACCGAAUAGGGGAGCCGGAGGGAAACCGAGUCUUAAUUGGGCGUUAAGUUGCAGGGUAUAGACCCGAAACCCGGUGAUCUAGCCAUGGGCAGGUUGAAGGUUGGGUAACACUAACUGGAGGACCGAACCGACUAAUGUUGAAAAAUUAGCGGAUGACCUGUGGCUGGGGGUGAAAGGCCAAUCAAACCGGGAGAUAGCUGGUUCUCCCCGAAAGCUAUUUAGGUAGCGCCUCGUGAAUUCAUCUCCGGGGGUAGAGCACUGUUUCGGCUAGGGGGCCAUCCCGGCUUACCAACCCGAUGCAAACUGCGAAUACCGGAGAAUGUUAUCACGGGAGACACACGGCGGGUGCUAACGUCCGUCGUGAAGAGGGAAACAACCCAGACCGCCAGCUAAGGUCCCAAAGUCAUGGUUAAGUGGGAAACGAUGUGGGAAGGCCCAGACAGCCAGGAUGUUGGCUUAGAAGCAGCCAUCAUUUAAAGAAAGCGUAAUAGCUCACUGGUCGAGUCGGCCUGCGCGGAAGAUGUAACGGGGCUAAACCAUGCACCGAAGCUGCGGCAGCGACACUGUGUGUUGUUGGGUAGGGGAGCGUUCUGUAAGCCUGCGAAGGUGGCC
RNAcentral lists this ribosomal RNA (1063 nucleotides) under Salmonella enterica subsp. enterica serovar Enteritidis. RNAcentral describes it as "partial 23S ribosomal RNA". It matches the Rfam family "Bacterial large subunit ribosomal RNA", at positions 161 to 1261 of the family's 2925-position model. The record is from RNAcentral. Lineage: Bacteria; Pseudomonadati; Pseudomonadota; Gammaproteobacteria; Enterobacterales; Enterobacteriaceae.